UGCUGCUUAUUCCUGAUUUCCUACAGAUC
Molecule: non-coding RNA, 29 nt
Filed under: Rattus norvegicus (Norway rat)
Lineage: Eukaryota; Metazoa; Chordata; Mammalia; Rodentia; Muridae
Source: RNAcentral